GUUUCCGUGGUGUAGCGGUUAUCACGUCUGCUUUACACCACAGAAGGUCCCCGGUUCGUUCCCGGGCGGGAACA
Molecule: non-coding RNA, 74 nt
Organism: Schistocerca gregaria
Lineage: Eukaryota; Metazoa; Arthropoda; Insecta; Orthoptera; Acrididae
Source: the annotation of a RefSeq genome assembly